CCCUUAGAUGUUCUGGGCCGCACGCGUGCUACACUGAGUGGAUCAGCGGGUCAGGUUGCGCGAAAGCGUUUCCUAAUCUUUAAAUCCGCUCGUGAUGGGGAUUGACGGUUGCAAUUUUCUGUCAUGAACGAGGAAUACCUUGUAAGCGCGGGUCAUCAUCCCGCGCUGAAUACGUCCCUGCCCUUUGUACACACCACCCGUCGCUCCUACCGAUUGAGUGGUCCGGUGAGGCUUUGGGAUCUGAGCGGAAAGAGCGUUUCGCUGUUUCUGCUCGGAAAACUCAGUCGAACCUUAUCAUUUAGAGGAAGGAGAAGUCGUAACA
RNAcentral lists this ribosomal RNA (322 nucleotides) under uncultured eukaryote. RNAcentral's name for it is "partial 18S ribosomal RNA". It matches the Rfam family "Eukaryotic small subunit ribosomal RNA", at positions 1470 to 1796 of the family's 1831-position model. The record is from RNAcentral.